GCACUCGGGGCAAACACUGCAAUCGCCUUGCACGCGGGAGACCCGGGUUCGAUUCCCGGCGGGGGUC
This 67-nucleotide transfer RNA is filed under the name Diaphorina citri (Asian citrus psyllid). It matches the Rfam family "tRNA". Rfam says of the family: Transfer RNA (tRNA) molecules are approximately 80 nucleotides in length. Their secondary structure includes four short double-helical elements and three loops (D, anti-codon, and T loops). Further hydrogen bonds mediate the characteristic L-shaped molecular structure. tRNAs have two regions of fundamental functional importance: the anti-codon, which is responsible for specific mRNA codon recognition, and the 3' end, to which the tRNAs corresponding amino acid is attached (by aminoacyl-tRNA synthetases). tRNAs cope with the degeneracy of the genetic code in two manners: having more than one tRNA (with a specific anti-codon) for a particular amino acid; and 'wobble' base-pairing, i.e. permitting non-standard base-pairing at the 3rd anti-codon position. Lineage: Eukaryota; Metazoa; Arthropoda; Insecta; Hemiptera; Psyllidae. The record is from Rfam by way of RNAcentral.